RNAcentral lists this ribosomal RNA (381 nucleotides) under uncultured bacterium. Its description in RNAcentral is "bacterial SSU rRNA". It matches the Rfam family "Bacterial small subunit ribosomal RNA", at positions 28 to 412 of the family's 1533-position model. The record is from RNAcentral.
GACGAACGCUGGCGGCGUGCUUAACACAUGCAAGUCGAGCGGUAAGGCCCUUCGGGGUACACGAGCGGCGAACGGGUGAGUAACACGUGGGUGACCUGCCCUUAGCUCUGGGAUAAGCCUGGGAAACUGGGUCUAAUACCGGAUAUGACCUCAUGACGCAUGUUGUGGGGUGGAAAGCCUUGUGCGGCUAGGGAUGGGCCCGCGGCCUAUCAGCUUGUUGGUGGGGUGAUGGCCUACCAAGGCGACGACGGGUAGCCGGCCUGAGAGGGCGACCGGCCACACUGGGACUGAGACACGGCCCAGACUCCUACGGGAGGCAGCAGUGGGGAAUCUUGCGCAAUGGGCGAAAGCCUGACGCAGCGACGCCGCGUGAGGGAUGAC